Molecule: long non-coding RNA, 653 nt
Organism: Neofelis nebulosa (Clouded leopard)
Lineage: Eukaryota; Metazoa; Chordata; Mammalia; Carnivora; Felidae
Exons: 3
Source: RefSeq, a predicted model, not a curated record
AACGAUGGCACCAAUAAUCGUAAGAUAAACAACGAAGCGUUACUGAGCCAUCUCGACGAGCCAAUCUCUGCCCUCAGCACUUUUCGUAUAUACCACUUUCUUCAACCCCCACAAAGGCACCAGAUGAAGGGACUAUUAUCGACUUCAUUUUGUCUAUGAAGGAAUCCUGGAGCAGAUGAACGGAUAAAAAUAUGUGGUAUUUACAUGCAAUGGAAUAUUAUUCAGGCGUAAAAAAUGAAGACAAUCCUACCAUUUGUGACAACAUGGAUGAAACUCGAAGACAUUAUGCUGAAAUAGGCCCGUCACAGAAGGACAAAUGCUGCAUGAUUCCACCCACAUGAGCAUAUGCAGGGCUGCAGAGGAUGUGCAGUGAAGUAUUUAAAUAAUGAAUUAUUCAAAAAGAAAAGGAACUGCAGGUACCUGAUGCCAGAAAUUCAUGCCUGUGAAUUCUUAAUCUGUUCUCCAAUGGGAUUAGCAUUUACGACUAUGAAAGAUGUCCUAAUUAUGCAGAGUUUCAGAGUUGAUUUUCUGCAGGGCCUGCGCAGAUCUAAAAAGCAUUAGGCAACAAUAAAAACAGAUGACUAUGAAUUUCUGAAUUCAUAAUUUGGUUUCCCUUUUGGGGGAAAUGGCAUUUUUAUUUAUGGGUGCUUCAC